Molecule: long non-coding RNA, 480 nt
Organism: Venturia canescens
Lineage: Eukaryota; Metazoa; Arthropoda; Insecta; Hymenoptera; Ichneumonidae
Exons: 2
Source: RefSeq, a predicted model, not a curated record
UUGCACGUUGCGAGACGAGGAAGGAUGAUAAGCAGGGUGUAUGUAGGAUACGUGUGAAUAGAAGGUCAGUGAAAUCGCAAAAGUCAUUAAAAAAUAAGACAAACGGGGCCAAAGAGUGUAGCGAAUUGUGCGGUUUCACUUGCGUACUUGUACAGUAUUCGCAAUUAUAUUUUCAAAACAGGUGAACAAGCGCAGCCACGUUCCUCGGUAGCGUUGGUGAACCAAAUGAAGUGCAAUGAAGUUUUUAUUGGCUUGAUCGUGGCGUAUAUUCUACCAGGUGUGUGCCUUGGCAACCGAGUCAGCAAUAACACGCAAUCAUUCAUAUAUAUAUAAAGACGGAACGCCGAGUAUGGAAUAACGAGCGGUGAAAAUAUAUAUCGCGAGUGAAACCCGGCCAAUGGGGAAAUAUAGAGUUUCCUCGUACCACGAAAUCGUUCCAUUACUUGAGAAACUGUAAAUAACAUACUAUUCUUGAUUUUU